AUUAAGACAAGACAAAGCUCUGAUAUUGUAAGUAUACUCUUGUCAAUCUAUCAAGGACAUGAAUUGGAAGAUGAUGUAUAAACCAAUGAAAUCCGUUGUCGUAAUAUAUAAAGUUUUGUUUGAGAAUGCUCCAGGUAUCUGGCUAUGGAAGGUAGAAUAGAAAUUGUAACAACAAAAUCUUAAUUCUAAUAGAAUACUAAUAAUGUUAAACAAGCUUUAAUCAAAUUCAAAGAAACUUCAAAGAAAUUUCAAAGAAAUAAUAAAAAAUCUUAAAGAAAUAUUAAAAUGAUCACAAAUAUAUCUCAAAUACAUGUCAAUUCAAUUUUAAUUUAAUCCUAGUUAAAAUCUUAUUAGACUUCAUUCAAACUUUAGGCCAAAACUAACUAAAUCUUAAAUCCUAACAAACCAUAAUAAAAUCCUAAAUCCUAAACUAAACCAUAAAUCUUAAAUCAAACCCUAAUCCUAAAUCAAAUCCUAACCAAACUCUAAACCCUAAACCAAAUCCUAAUCAAAUCCUAAUAAUUUUUACAAUAGAUUUAAACCUCAAUAACUAAUGAAUGAACCGUUG
RNAcentral lists this long non-coding RNA (568 nucleotides) under Physcomitrium patens. RNAcentral describes it as "long non-coding RNA (PPAT_LNC011638)". Lineage: Eukaryota; Viridiplantae; Streptophyta; Bryopsida; Funariales; Funariaceae. The record is from RNAcentral.